AUGAUGAGAAGCUUUCAGAAGCUGAAGAAUCAUCAGAUGCUCCAAUGGAAGCAGAAGAUAAACAAUAGAUGUGUAUAGCUCAGAAAUCUGUGUGAUCUGUAUUAAGGAACAGAGGCUUGAACCACGACCACUGCCAUCCCCAGGACCAUUGAUACCACCAAAAUAAAUCCUCCUGUGGAUUGAAGGAUUUUCAGUUGCAAGUCUGAGAAUCAAUUGGCUGGGCUAAGUAGAAUGACCAAACUGCAGCAUUCUAAAUGCCGGCGUGUGCCAUCCCAACUAUAGGUCAAGAAUUAAGAUUUCCAUGUAUUGUCAGUUCAAAUUACUGUAUAUUAUAAAUGGACGGGCAUUUGUGAUGA
Protobothrops mucrosquamatus (brown spotted pit viper) is the source of this 356-nucleotide long non-coding RNA. RefSeq lists it as uncharacterized. Lineage: Eukaryota; Metazoa; Chordata; Lepidosauria; Squamata; Viperidae. The record is from RefSeq and is a predicted model, not a curated record. The transcript has 2 exons.